AGAGUUUGAUCCUGGCUCAGAAUGAACGUUGGCGGCGUGGAUUAGGCAUGCAAGUCGAGCGAGAAGGCUCCCUUCGGGGAGCUGGACAGCGGCAAACGGGGUAGUAAGGCGUCGGUACGCACCCCCAGGACCGGGAUAGCCGCGGGAAACUGCGGGUAAUACCGGAUAAUAUCUCCGGAUCAAAUGGUGAGAUUCCGCCUGGGGACCGGCUGACGUGAUACCAGCUUGUUGGUGAGGUAACGGCUCACCAAGGCGAAGACGUCUAGGGGGUGUGAGAGCAUGGCCCCCACCACUGGGACUGAGACACUGCCCAGACACCUACGGGUGGCUGCAGUCGAGAAUCUUCGGCAAUGGGCGAAAGCCUGACCGAGCGACGCCGCGUGCGGGAUGACGGCCCUUGGGUUGUAAACCGCUGUCAGAGGGGAUGAAAUUUCGUGGGGCUAUCCCCACGAUUUGACAAAGCCUCACAGGAAGCCCGGGCUAAAUACGUGCCAGCAUCCGCGGUAAUACGUACUGGGCGAACGUUAUUCGGAAUCACUGGGCUUAAAGGGUGCGUAGGCGGCCAUCCAGGUCUGAUGUGAAAUCUUUCGGCUCAACCGGGAAAAUUGCGUUGGAAACCGGAUGGCUUGAGUGUGCUAAGGGUGUGUGGAACUUUCCACUGGACCUGUGAAUUGUGUUGAAAUAUGAAGGAACGCCCAGUCUCGAAAGCUAUACGCUGGGGCAUAACUGACGCUGUGCACAACAGCUGCAGUAGCGAACGGGAUAGAUAU
Molecule: ribosomal RNA, 770 nt
Filed under: uncultured Planctomyces sp.
Lineage: Bacteria; Pseudomonadati; Planctomycetota; Planctomycetia; Planctomycetales; Planctomycetaceae
Description: bacterial SSU rRNA
Rfam family: Bacterial small subunit ribosomal RNA
Source: RNAcentral